RNAcentral lists this ribosomal RNA (402 nucleotides) under Triticum aestivum (bread wheat). Its description in RNAcentral is "partial small subunit ribosomal RNA". Lineage: Eukaryota; Viridiplantae; Streptophyta; Magnoliopsida; Poales; Poaceae. The record is from RNAcentral.
AUGGCAGCACGUCAGCUUUCCUAUGACGCCAACGGACAUGAGCUAGAAGGCCCAUCUACAUGUCUUUCACCUACCAUAAAAAAGUUGUACUCGGAAACAUGUUCAAAAUUUAGCUUGGCACUUCAUGCAGCGAAACAUUGUGAGGAGAAAAUGAGAUAUUUUCACAAGGUUGUUGGUGAUGCCUUCACGCAAUUGGAACAGAUGGGUGCCAUUAGUGAGCAAAGUAAAGUUCAAGAAUUUGAAUCCUUCGUCGAAACAUCAUUCCCAAGUGUGAUCAGUAUUCAUCCACCAGAUGUAGCAAACACAAAAGGGAGUGGUAAGAGAUUGAAAAGGGGUUCAGAGCAAACAGUGAACCAAAAGAAGAAGAGGGCAAAUAGCAUCCAAAAGGUUCCUGAUAAGUAG